UGCCAGCCGCCGCGGUAAUACGGAGGGUGCAAGCGUUGUUCGGAAUUAUUGGGCGUAAAGAGCAUGUAGGCGGACUAUUAAGUCUGAUGUGAAAGCCCGGGGCUCAACCCCGGAAGUGCAUUGGAUACUGGUAGUCUUGAGUAUGGGAGAGGAAAGUGGAAUUCCGAGUGUAGGAGUGAAAUCCGUAGAUAUUCGGAGGAACACCAGUGGCGAAGGCGGCUUUCUAGCUUAUUCCUGACGCUGAGGCGCGAAAGCGAGGGGAGCGAACAGGAUUAGAUA
Molecule: ribosomal RNA, 279 nt
Filed under: uncultured bacterium
Lineage: Bacteria
Description: partial 16S ribosomal RNA
Rfam family: Bacterial small subunit ribosomal RNA
Source: RNAcentral